RNAcentral lists this ribosomal RNA (484 nucleotides) under uncultured bacterium. Its description in RNAcentral is "partial 16S ribosomal RNA". It matches the Rfam family "Bacterial small subunit ribosomal RNA", at positions 30 to 507 of the family's 1533-position model. The record is from RNAcentral.
AUUGAACGCUGGCGGCAGGCCUAACACAUGCAAGUCGAGCGGAUGAAGGGAGCUUGCUCCUGGAUUCAGCGGCGGACGGGUGAGUAAUGCCUAGGAAUCUGCCUGGUAGUGGGGGAUAACGUCCGGAAACGGGCGCUAAUACCGCAUACGUCCUGAGGGAGAAAGUGGGGGAUCUUCGGACCUCACGCUAUCAGAUGAGCCUAGGUCGGAUUAGCUAGUUGGUGGGGUAAAGGCCUACCAAGGCGACGAUCCGUAACUGGUCUGAGAGGAUGAUCAGUCACACUGGAACUGAGAAACGGUCCAGACUCCUACGGGAGGAAGCAGUGGGGAAUAUUGGACAAUGGGCGAAAGCCUGAUCCAGCCAUGCCGCGUGUGUGAAGAAGGUCUUCGGAUUGUAAAGCACUUUAAGUUGGGAGGAAGGGCAGUAAGUUAAUACCUUGCUGUUUUGACGUUACCAACAGAAUAAGCACCGGCUAACUUCGUG